RNAcentral lists this unclassified non-coding RNA (379 nucleotides) under uncultured delta proteobacterium. RNAcentral's name for it is "contains 16S-23S intergenic spacer region". The record is from RNAcentral. Lineage: Bacteria; Deltaproteobacteria.
UCUGUCUUGUCGACUAGCGGUCUCAUUAGAGUGCCCAACUUAAUGGUAGCAACUAAUGACAAGGGUUGCGCUCGUUGCGGGACUUAACCCAACAUCUCACGACACGAGCUGACGACAGCCAUGCAGCACCUGUCACCGCGUCCCCGAAGGGAAUUCACCACUUUCAUGGAUAUGCGCGGGAUGUCAAACCUAGGUAAGGUUCUUCGCGUUGCGUCGAAUUAAACCACAUACUCCACCGCUUGUGCGGGCCCCCGUCAAUUUCUUUGAGUUUUAAUCUUGCGACCGUACUUCCCAGGCGGGGUACUUAAUGCGUUAGCGACGACACUGAAAAGAUAAGGCUUUCCAGCAUCUAGUACCCAUCGUUUACGGCGUGGACUAC